Long non-coding RNA from Oncorhynchus keta (chum salmon), 832 nucleotides. RefSeq lists it as uncharacterized. NCBI's taxonomy places the organism in Eukaryota, Metazoa, Chordata, Actinopteri, Salmoniformes, Salmonidae. The record is from RefSeq and is a predicted model, not a curated record. The transcript is spliced from 2 exons.
CAAACACGCGUCAUGUUUUACCCUCUGACCUCUAAACAGGACCCUGAACAGGUCCUAGACCUAACCCUGAACAGGCUGGUACCAGAUAUAUUAUUUGCUUGCUCAGCUGACUUUUAGAUAGCCACUGAAACUGUGAUGCAGAGGACUAUUUGGACAUUGUGAAAAGGGUUUUAACCAACUGCACAAAAAUAAGACUGUGUAAAGCUCGCUUUCCAUCCAAUUGGCGACAGAUUUUUAUGCAAAUAUGCAUAAAGAAAAUAUUCACAUUUCCCCACCAGUGGUGUGUUUCUACCAAACUGACAUGUUGCGGCUAAAAAGCACUGUGUGAUGAUGUAGUGCACAUUUCUAAAGCACUGUGUGAUGAUGUAGUGCACAUUUCUAAAGCACUGUGUGAUGAUGUAGUGCACAUUUCUAAAGCACUGUGUGAUGAUGUAGUGCACAUUUUUAAAGCACUGUGUGAUGAUGUAGUGCACAUUUUUAAAGCACUGUGUGAUGAUGUAGUGCACAUUUUUAAAGCACUGUGUGAUGAUGUAGUGCACAUUUUUAAAGCAGUGUGUGAUGAUGUAGUGCACAUUUUUAAAGCAGUGUGUGAUGAUGUAGUGCACAUUUUUAAAGCAGUGUGUGAUGAUGUAGUGCACAUUUUUAAAGCAGUGUGUGAUGAUGUAGUGCACAUUUUUAAAGCAGUGUGUGAUGAUGUAGGGCACAUUUUUAAAGCACAGUGUGAUGAUGUAGGGCACAUUUUUAAAGCAGUGUGUGAUGAUGUAGGGCACAUUUUUAAAGGUACUUUUUUACUUAAGUUUUCAUGUACCGAAUAAAAAUCACAUCCAUCGCA